Molecule: transfer RNA, 66 nt
Filed under: Curculionoidea sp. 11 KM-2017
Lineage: Eukaryota; Metazoa; Arthropoda; Insecta; Coleoptera
Description: tRNA-Glu
Source: RNAcentral
AUUUAUAUAGUUUAAAAAAAAAACAUUACAUUUUCAUUGUAAAAUUAAAAAUAAAAUUUAUAAAUU